RNAcentral lists this non-coding RNA (30 nucleotides) under Mus musculus (house mouse). Lineage: Eukaryota; Metazoa; Chordata; Mammalia; Rodentia; Muridae. The record is from RNAcentral.
UCCAACCAAGAGAGAUAAUCCCCAUAGUUU